Amphiprion ocellaris (clown anemonefish) is the source of this 3542-nucleotide long non-coding RNA. NCBI's taxonomy places the organism in Eukaryota, Metazoa, Chordata, Actinopteri, Pomacentridae. The record is from Ensembl.
AUUUUUCAACAUGUAAAAACGUGCCAUAUGAUGAAAUAAUGUAAAGUAGGCCGUGGAAAACACUCCAGAAAGGUUUUCUUUGAAAAAAAAUCAACAUGAAUUUUGGCGUGAAAAAAAAUGCCAUAGUAUACUAUGUCGAAAAAUGUCAUUUUUCAACAUGUUGUGAAAACAUGCCAUAUGAUGAAAUAAUGUAAAGGAGGCAGUGAAAAACACUCCAGAAAGGUUUUCUUUGAAAAAAAAAAUCAACAUUAAUUUUGGCGUAAAAAAAAAAAACGCCAUAUUAUACUAUGUCGAAAAAUGUCAUUUUUCAACAUGUGAAAACAUUCCAUAUGAUGAAAUAAUGUAAAGGAGGCAGUGAAAAACACUCCAGAAAGGUUUUGUUUGAAAAAAAAUCAACAUGAAUUUUGGCGUGAAAAAAAAUGCCAUAGUAUACUAUGUCGAAAAAUGUCAUUUUUCAACAUGUUGUGAAAACAUGCCAUAUGAUGAAAUAAUGUAAAGGAGGCAGUGAAAAACACUCCAGAAAGGUUUUCUUUGACGAAAAAAUCAACAUGAAUUUUGGCCCAAAAAAAAAACGCCAUAGUAUACUAUGUCGAAAAAAAACCUGCGAUUUUUCGACAUGUUGCAAAAACGUGCCAUAUGAUGAAAUAAUGUAAAGGAGGCUGUGAGAAACACUCCAGAAAGGUUUUCUUUGAAAAAAAAAAUCAACAUGAAAUUUGGCGCAACAAAAACGCCAUAGUAUACUAUGUCGAAAAAUGUCAUUUUUCAACAUGUUGUGAAAACAUGCCAUAUGAUGAAAUAAUGUAAAGGAGGCCGUGACAAACACUCAAGAAAGGUUUUCUUUGACGAAAAAAUCAACAUGAAUUUUGGCCCAAAAAAAAAACGCCAUAGUAUACUAUGUCGAAAAAAAACCUGCGAUUUUUCGACAUGUUGCAAAAACGUGCCAUAUGAUGAAAUAAUGUAAAGGAGGCUGUGAGAAACACUCCAGAAAGGUUUUCUUUGAAAAAAAAUCAACAUGAAUUUUGGCGCAAAAAAAAAACGCCAUAGUAUACUAUGUUGAAAAAUGUCAUUUUUCAACAUGUUGUAAAAACGUGCCAUAUGAUGAAAUAAUGUAAAGUAGGCUGCGACAAACACUCCAGAAAGGUUUUCUUUGAAAAAAAAAAUCAUCAUGAAUUUUGGCGCAAAAAAAAACGCCAUAGUAUACUAUGUUGAAAAAUGUCAUUUUUCAACAUGUGGUAAAAACGUGCCAUGUGAUGAAAUAAUGUAAAGUAGGCCGUGGAAAACACUCCAGAAAGGUUUUCUUUGAAAAAAAAAUCAACAUGAAUUUUGGCGCAACAAAAACGCCAUAGUAUACUAUGUCGAAAAAAAAUUUUGAUUUUUCAACAUGUUGUAAAAACGUGCCAUAUGAUGAAAUAAUGUAAAGGAGGCAGUGACAAACACUCAAGAAAGGUUUUCUUUGACGAAAAAAUCAACAUGAAUUUUGGCCCAAAAAAAAACGCCAUAGUAUACUAUGUCGAAAAAAAACCUGCGAUUUUUCGACAUGUUGCAAAAACGUGCCAUAUGAUGAAAUAAUGUAAAGGAGGCUGUGAGAAACACUCCAGAAAGGUUUUCUUUGAAAAAAAAUCAACAUGAAUUUUGGCGCAAAAAAAAAAACGCCAUAGUAUACCAUGUCGAAAAAUGUCAUUUUUCAACACUAAAUCUUAUUGAAAAAUAUGUUUUACUUAAGUCCACCUGUUUCAGCCAUCUCUACCCCUCAUUAGGUACCACUCUAAGGUAAAUUAUUCAAAAAAAGUCCAGUAGAUGUCACUGUGUUUUGAAAUAGCAUGCAGAGCAAGUUUGUCUGCUCACAGGAAGUUAGCACAAGCAAAAUCACUCCUCACAUGAGGCCUCUGUUUGCUGUGCUUUUCAAAGGUAAAGUAAUACUUUUGACAUAUUAUGAUGCCUGAGGAGCUGAACACAAAUGUGUCAUUUGAAAUGUAAAAAAAAAAAAAAAAAAAAAGGGUAAAAUAAUUUUUCUCAACCGUUUGGUAGAGGUCAAUAUUUUAAAAAUUGCUGGGUCUCUUCAUAAAAAAAAAAUUGAUUGUUGUUAUUAGUGCCCCAAAGAGAUAAGAAAUAUAAAGAAAUAAUUUUUUCAUCGCCUUUUUCUUGGUGAGGAUGUUUAAGGGUUAACUUAACAUCUGUAAACAAAACAAAAACGUAUCAACAAAGUUUUCUGUUAGAGUUUGUGUUCUUAUAACUUUAACUCCAAGAUUUUAAAUACUUUCGUUUACUGCAAAUGAAUAUCUACUCCAAAUGUCUCACUAAUAAUCAUUAUCAGCCUUAAAAACCCACAAAACACCCCUCUAUACUCCACCACACUUAGUACAGUCCGGUUCCCCCUUCUAUAAAUCUGCUUGGAAUCUUCCACUUCCUGUUUGUCAAAGUGGCCUUCUACCUGGACAGGUUUUGUUGGAGCUCAUGCAACAAACAUUUUGGGUAACUGCACUUUAAUAUGGAUGGAUGAUACUGAAUUAGAGUCUGUUUUAAUGAGACUGAGUUAAGAUGUGUAGCUCUGUCAUUAAAUAGGAAAUUAUUUCUCAGAAUUCACAGAGAAAAGUCUGAAAUGUUUGCUCGGUUAGCAUCCCACAUGUUCUUUGGCUCAGCUAAAGCUAACCCUCUCCACCUUCUGGAUCUCUUGAGUUGCUUGUUGUUAAAAUAUCUUGCUAUAGGUGCUGAACCUCAAAGUCUGAGAUGUUUGUUCAAAAUAAGCUCAUUCUCAAAUCUUAUCUGAACUGUCCUCUUUUGUUUGAACUUUCCCUAAACUUAGCAGUUAAUGACAGAGCAGCACAUCCAGACUCAGUCUCAUUUAUGUAGAGAUUAAACUUCAGUGUCAUUCAUUGAUGUUAAAGUGCAGUUUUUCAAAUGUUUGUUGCACAUGCUCCCGACCAAAGCAGUCCAGGUGGAAGACGAUGUGAAGAGAAAGCUCCAGAGGAUGAAUAUCACACAUUUACGUUGGAAAUAAAUGUCCUUUAAUUAGACAUUGUCAUGCAAAAGUUGGAUUUCCCUUUAAUGAUGUUCAAAUCUUUGAGUGUUUUGUUGAUGUUGGUUUCUAAAUGUUUUGUGACACUCGGCCCCAAAGAUUAAAACCUUCUACGGCUCACAAGCUGCAACAAUUCACACAUUAUCAACUAUCUUUCUGACUAAAAUAAAAAGUGAAAAACUGCCUGAUUCCUGCAUCAUGAAUGUAAAUCUUUUUGGUUUUUAUGACAGUAAACUCAAUAUAUUUGGGUUUGACAUUUUAUAAUCCAAAACAAGAAAUGAAUUACUGGAGAAAACAAUCAACAGAUUAAUGCACAAAGAAAAUGUGUUUUCCAACAUAUAUGGCUGAAUUACUCUAACAUUACAAGAUACAUAGAAUUUUAAUUCAAUUUUAUUUAUAUAAUGCCAAUUACAGGUCAAAUUGUUUCAAGAUGCUUUAUUUUUAUAUUUUUUGGUCAUAUUUAAAAUAUGACAAAGUAAGAAAUUUAAACAUCUUGACUAAUCCAAUUUAUUAUUUGUUUUUUAAG